Molecule: long non-coding RNA, 7122 nt
Filed under: Bemisia tabaci
Lineage: Eukaryota; Metazoa; Arthropoda; Insecta; Hemiptera; Aleyrodidae
Description: lncRNA ENSSSA1UGG009382
Source: RNAcentral
AUGACCCUCCAGAAGAUUCACAAUGUUGAUGCUUCAUCCAGUGACUUAACAAUUAUUCUCAAUGCAGCUCAGCAGUCUUUGCAGCAACCCAUUUGCGCUCAACCAAUCAACUAUGCUUAUGGAGCCAAUUUUUUAAUAAUCGGACAUAUCCAUACUGCGCAUGAUCUUAUUCAAAGGACGCGUAUGUGCAGCAAAGUUUUAUAUGUACAAGAUGCGAAUUCUAACAAUUUAUUCCGUGUAAUACUCCUGAAUGCCUGUGCAAAGGAAGCCGAAGAGGCAGGUGUGAAAGAGAUGGAUUUGGUUGCUUUCUUGAAUCCUUGUCUCUCUCCUCAUCCAGCACAGGAGUGGUCCAGUUUAAAAGUUUACAGGAAACAAAUAAUAUUUCAUGACAAAAACAAGGCAUCACCUUCUAUGUGGCUCUAUCAACAGGUUCAAUGUAACUUUGUCCGGCGUAAUUUAAUAAAAAACAAACAUCACUUUCCGGAAGAUGAAGUUAACAAAGACCAUGAUCCUCCUCCCGCCAAGAAAUUAUUAUCAAGUAAAUCACAAGGAUGUGGCUCAUCAAGAACUUUAGCUUCUUUGGAGAAAGGGUUAAAUUCAGAAAUGGUUGAGAACACCGCAACAGGUAUUCAGGUGACUGGGCAAACAGUCCGAUUACAGCCAACGAAUCAGAAUUUCACAGGAACUCUAAGUACAGAGUCUGUUGAUUCCUCCGUGACUAUCUCCAAGAAAGUACUGCCUGAUAGCGUUCAACCGUCUGUUGGUUCAUCAAGUACUCAAAAUUCUACCUCAGUUGAUCUCAGGUCUAAAACAGCCGACAAAACCUUGACUGAUUUACAAUCAUAUCCAGAAUCAGUAGGGACUCAACCCAAAAAUCAUGAUUGCUUGCAAAAUCAUCAUUUAACACCAGUUCCAAAGCUUUCUCCCGAAGAUACAUCGUCAAAUAAUUGUCAUUCUUCCAUUGAAUCAUCAAAUACCUCAGCUUACUUUAGCCCUGAAACAGCCGAGAACACCUCAACAGAAAUUAAUGCGGCUCAACUACUUUUGGAGCUAUCCGAAAAUAUUAAUCGCCGAAAAACUCCCAAUACAGAAUCAGUUUUAUCUCCUUUGCCUUCUCCUAAAGUAUUGCCAACUAACAUCCAACCUGGCAUUGACUCAUCGAAUGCCCCAGUGCCUUGCUAUGUUGAUUGUGGUUCUAAAGUAAUUGAAGACAUCUCAGUAGGUGUUCAGGUGCCCAGGCAAAUGGUUGGAACUCAGUCAGUGGUAGAAACUUGUAGCUUAGGGUCUGUUGUUUCCCCCAAGAAAGUAUUGUGCAGUGAUGUUCAACCCUCUGUUGGUUUAUCAAAUAAUUCAUUUUCCAGCCCAGUUGAUUGCCGGUCUGAAGUCGCCCAAAAUAUCUUGACUGAUAUUCAGAUGAAUAAAAAUCAUGAUCGCUCAGGAAAUCAUCAUUUGAAACAAAAUUUCUCUUCAAAAAUUUCUUUGAUAACUUCCACCAAAGAUAAAUUUACCAAUGAUGUUCAUUCCUCUGUUGACUUAUCAAAUACUUCAGCUUCUUGUUCAGCUGACCUUAGUGCUACAGCGAUUGAAAACAUCUCAGCAGAUAUUCAUGUGACUCAACUCCCUGUAGAAAGUCAGUCCAAAAACCACGGUCGCCGAAAAACUCUUGAUACUGAGUUGUCUCCAUUUUCUGUGCCUCCUUCUAAAGUAUUGCCAAGAAAUCCUCAACCUGUCAUUAGCUCAUUAGAUGCUCCAGUGCCUUGCUCUGUUAACCUUGAUUCUGAAGCAAUAGAGUUAAGCUUAAGUGGUGCUCAGGUGUGCCAACAACCUUUACAAACUCAAUCGAAACAGCAUGAUCAGUCAAAAACUCAUCAUACUAAUUCAGCUAGCUCUCCAGGAAAAAACAAAAACAGCACACCACAAAAUGAACAAACAAGGCUGGAAACCAAUUGCAACAAAACUAAUGAGUGCUCACUAAGAAUAACAGACACGAUUAUACAUGAUGGUCAUCAAAACGGAGAAGUAACGUCAAAUGAUUGUACCUUGACUCCUCGGUAUCCAUUCGAUUUCAAGCAUUUAGCUCAUAUCAGAGAAGGAGAAGUUAUUCAUACAGUUGUUGUAAUUCAGACUAUAAAAGUAAGUAUAAAUAAGGUAUCUCAAAAUGAUCCUAGUUUCAUUUGUAAGUAGACAAGAAUCAAUUCUACAGAAAUUUACUUAUUUGAACAUAAAUUGACGGAGUUAUGACAGUUUGUACAAGGGAUCUAUGGCAACAGCCCACGGUUUUUUUAAAACAAUUUUCUCUUACCAAAAUGUACAGCUUUAAAACAUUUGGCUUUAAAUUGUUAAAUUGGCAUUAAUGAAUUGGUAAUGCUGAAAUGCUGGGUGGAGUCUCAGCAGUGUUUUUUUUUUUUUUUUUGUAUUUGUGUCUCGAGCAGCUUCUCAUUGUGUCUUCCGCCCUUUUGCGAAUAUUUACAAAAACUUUUCUGUUCUCCUGUUGUCUCUUUGUUUUAUUCAUGUUCAAGCAAAUAUUUUUCAAGAAGUACAAAAAAGCAAUAGCUGUAGCCAGAGCAAUUUUCUGGGGGUAGCCUGUCCACCGCUUUUUCAUGAGGGGUCUGAGUCCUCUCAGUACAAGACAAGGGUAUAAGGAAAUGUAAGCAGGUUUUGCGUGGAAAGUUUUCUCUCAGGUGCAUUUUGAGACUAUUCUCGCGCCAACUGAAGGCUCAAAUUUACGCAUAAUCCUUGAAAAACAUUUCAAACUUUUUUCUUUUUCCCCAUUGUACUAUGUAAUAAAUCGAGAAAAUCUACCUAGUUUGAGGUUAUUAAGUGUUGUUCAAAUUUUUUUGGGUGGGCCAGAUGACACCAUCUCAAAUUCUAUGGGGAGCAAGGUCCUCUCUGGUCCCUUACGAAUUCCAAUGGAAAAACAAUUAGAAGCCUCACAAGACGUUACUUCACAAAAAUCAACAGGCGCAGCAGAAAUUCAUCCAUUGUUUUUGCGAUACCAAUUCAUUCAUUCAUUCAUAGAUUUUUGCAUCGUUAACCAUAGUUACUUCACCAGUUAUGUAAAAAUUUGGCAACAUUUUCGCAAUAUUGUUUCUAAACUAUUAGAACGUCCUCGAAGCUUGUUACGACUGUUGUGUACAUUAAUUAACAGUUUAUGCAGUUAUGCAGUUUAAGCGGGCUAGGGGACAGGAGUUGUAGCGUUUUUAAACGGGAGGCACAUUAUCCAGUAAACGCUCUCAUCCUCUUUAGUCCAUUGAUUAAAUGCCAAGUCUGUUACAUGCAAGUACACCUACUGCUCUCUCUUUUGAUAAUCCUAUAUAAAAUUAAAAAAUAAAAAUAAAUAUGUAUAUAUAUAUAUAUAUAUUUUCAGCCAAUGUAUCAUCUUUUGCUUUACCGAAUGAAAGUAUAACAAGUUGAAGUAAAUUUUAUUUUUCUGUCCUGUUUCAGAGACAAGUCUCGUGUAACUCUUGUACUGCACUGGUGACAGUUUGUGUGACAGAUGAAAGCAUAUUUCCUGAUGUAAUUGAUAUUACAAUAGUAACUCAUGUUGGACUGAAACCUUUGCUGAAAAAGAAUGAUAUAGCAAGAUUUAUGAAUGUACAUGUAAGUAUGUUAAAAUACUCUCUCAAACAAUGAAAAAAUUAAAAUUAACAUAUGCAUGCAUUUUAAGAACCCAUUAUAAGAUAAUUUGAGGAUUACAGUUAUCAAACUUUGCUCAGCAACAAAAUGCUGUAAUAAAAUUCGCUCCUCUUCAAUCUUUUGCCACAUAUAUUGUUUUCUAACUACCUGUUCAAUUUGAUCUUAAUGAUCUCUGAUUUGGUGAAUGUUUAUUGAUUUAAUUAUUAAAUUUUGGCUGUGCCCAAAAAUUGCUCAUUUUAAAGUCCAUGUCAGAUAAAUUCACGGAGUUUUUGAGUAUGACAAAAGAUGCAACGCCUUAAUUCUUUUGUUUACUUUCAAUGCUAAUCUGAAGAUAGCUAAUCUUUUGUCGCACUCAGAAAGUGUUUGAACUUAUUUGGCGUGGACUCUAUUUGAGAAUAUCUCAUGUUUUUUUGUUUUUAUUUCAGCCCACUCAGAAGAAAAGUUUUAGUGAAGGAGGGAGGGGGAAAAGUAAUGUGGGAUGUUUGAAUAUUUCUGCAUGAAGUAUUGAUACAGCCUUACUUUGAUAUAUCUUUCAUUAUGUAUGUUUAUUAUUUACUUGUACACUCAACUAAUCCUGGCCAAACUGCUCAAAAAUAUUACAGAUAAGUUCGGUAGAUGGUAAACUAAUAGGAAAGGUAUUUUCUGGUGAUGAUGUUGGCAUCUAUAAAAGUCCAGAGGAAGCCUCAAGUUCUGGAGGCUUCAGCCUAAUAAGACAAUGCACUUUUGCAGGUACUUCAAUGUUAAUUUUUUUCAAUAUAUUCGCCUCCUAGAAGAACUUAAUAGAGCCUUCCGAAAGAACUUAAUGGAGCCUUUAUUACUUCUAUGUUUUGAUGAUUUUUCUCCGACUUGGAAUUUUUUUUGUUUCCUCCGUUUAAAUCUUUAUACUUUGCUUUCCUUCGCGCUCAUAAGCUAGCUUUUGAUAAUUUAUGGUUUUACAUUAUGGCAAGAAGCAAAAUCAGAAAAAAAGUAAAGAGGUCACAAAAUGUAAGGGCGUAGGCGAUAGUCACAAAACAAAUGAUUACUUUGCAGUACAAGAAAGCAUCAAACCUAAUGAAAAUCUGUACGUCCAUGUAAGCCUCACAGAGGUCCUGUAUCACUCUUUGGGAAUUGUGUACCUUUUAUGGACCGUUUUAACUUUAGUUAGGAACUUCAAGUAGUUGCUACAGGAUCCCUGCAGUAAUAUCUCCAAGCAUUUUGAAUGCCCCUCAAAUCAUUUUGCUCUACACUUGAAAUGUCUUAUCAAGCAUUUGAAUUGUUUACUCUAUGGUUUUGUGUAAUUAUUUGGCUCCAUUUUCAAAAGUGAUCUACAAAACGUUAUGAUCCCAAGCACCGUAAAUUGAUAGUUUAAUGCAGGGAGGAAACAGAUUUAUUCGUGUGUAUUCAAUUUGCUGAUCUUUUUUUCUUCUUUUUCUUUUUUUUCCUGGGGUAUUCAAUUUUGUGUAUAUAACCUCUAUUUUUCUGGAUGUAAAUUAACUAACUAACUUAACAGUGGGUUGUUUGUGUUUUAUGCUCAAGAAAAUUAAUGCUUAUAUUAUCAAUUAAUUAAAGGUAGUUGUUUAGGGUUCCCAGGUUUAGUCGUGGCAGUUCAAGGGGCAAUUCUUCAAGUCAAAAUAAGUUUUUUUCCUCUAUAAACAUGAGUCCUUAAGUUAAACUCUACGGUGCUAUAACCACCCAAAUUCUUAAAAAUAUAUAAGUUUUUCAUUUUAGGGACAGCUUUGGAUUGACUGUCAUAAAAAUGUGUAGCUAGCAGUAAUUUUUAUUGCCAAAACCAAAUUUUAGGUGAUGAAUGAUAUGCGUAAGUUUUUGGGGGAGUCUCUGUAUAAAGGGACGCUGUGCUGCUUGAUUCAAGCUAUUAGAUAGACAGAGUGAGUGUCGGCUUGUAUGUAAAUCCCCCUGAUCUUUUUUACAUAAUAGUCUUCUUAUCCAGAAAUCAUGACUUGCCAACGCUUGGCAAUUUUUCUUUUUCUCCUUUUUCAUGUUUCUUGAAUGAACCCAUGAAUCAGUUAAAGAUAGGAUAUGAAGUUAGGACGAAGUGAAUUAAGAGAUAGGGGAAAAAAUUGCUGAGCAUUGUCGAGUUAUGAAGUCUGUAGAAGGAGAACUAUGUGCGAUAAAAAAUCAAGAGAAAUUACAUAGCGGCUGACACUAGGGUGCGGCUUAUAGAGGAAAUUAAAAAUGAUGAAUUUUAAAAUUGACAAGGCACCCCGCCAAAACGUUCCUACUAGUGUAAAAACAAACGUUGUAGAACAGUUUUGCAUUUGGUCAACAUUUAGAGGUCCCGACGGGCCUUUAAAGUUGCCAAAUUUGGCUAAUUUUCGCACUUUUUCAUCAAUUUUGGCAAAUUUUCUCAGGCCUCACUGAGAGUUCUAAUUGGUCAAUUUAUUCAUAAAUAGGCAGUACAUAACCUAAAAUGUACCCCAUCCUCCCUUAAGCCCCCCAGCCCCCCCAACCCCCCUCCCUCACCGAUCCAAUAUAAAUACACUCUUUAUAAACUACGCUAUUUUGGUAGUGACCAGAGAUCUUAAGUAACACUGGUCAACACGGGUUCAAAUGUGAUGGAACUAAGGUAGUUUUUAGCGUUGAGUCCGAAAAUGACCUCCGUUAUGCUGGGUCAGGUCGAUUUUCCCCGGAAAAAUCAGGAUUUUCCUUAAAAAUCGAGCUUUUCUGGUGAAAAAUCAAUUUUCCGGAAAAUCUGUGCAUGAUGGUGGAAAGAUUAGGUCAUUUUCGGAUUCAGCAGCUAAAAUUACAUGGGCAUCUCUAUAUUGCAUGCCUACUGAAGUUUCCGUUCUGUUCCAAAUAUCGAGGUUUUUCCGGACAAGUGCCCCUUUCCGCCCAUGUAACGCAUGUAAUACCAGUCCGAUUGAUUUGUGUCGGAAAGUAGGGAAAAUAUUUUUUCUCAGGCGACAGGUGGAGUUGACUCCACUAAAUUAUUGCCGCUGCAGCCGAAAAUGACCCUAGCUUCCUUUCAGAACAUUUGGAAAAUCCAGAUUCCGAAAAGAGGGGAUGUUUUCAAACGUUUUUGAGUUAAAAAGGUGCAUUUUUUUCGAAAAAUCGAUUUUUAAAAAAAAUUGAUAGAUUUUGGAAGACAACGAGGGUCAUAUUGGCUGCAGCGGCAAUAAUUUAGUGGAGUCAACUCCACCUGUCGCCUGAGAAAAAAUAUUUUCCCUCCUUUCCGACACAAAUCAAUCGGACUGGUAUUACAUGCGUUACAUGGGCGGAAAGGGGCACUUGUCCGGAAAAACCUCGAUAUUUGGAACAGAACGGAAACUUCAGUAGGCAUGCAAUAUAGAGAUGCCCAUGUAAUUUUAGCUGCUGAAUCCGAAAAUGACCUAAUCUUUCCACCAUCAUGCACAGAUUUUCCGGAAAAUUGAUUUUUCACCAGAAAAGCUCGAUUUUUAAGGAAAAUCCUGAUUUUUCCGGGGAAAAUCGACCUGACCCAGCAUAACGGAGGUCAUUUUCGGACUCAACGCUAAAAACUACCUUAGUUCC